RNAcentral lists this long non-coding RNA (1221 nucleotides) under Gallus gallus (chicken). RNAcentral's name for it is "lncRNA (ENSGALG00010026556.1)". Lineage: Eukaryota; Metazoa; Chordata; Aves; Galliformes; Phasianidae. The record is from RNAcentral.
GCAUUGCACGCACCUGAGCUCCCCGGGCUGGCCCGGCCUUCCGCCACGUGCUCCGUCACUGCUUCAGGCCGGGACUCAGCACUGCCACUACAGAUGGGGUGGUGGCACAUGGGGAGGAUGGGGAUGCCAUGGGAUGGUGGCACAUGGAAGGGUGGAGGUGUUCAGAAAUGGUGACACGUGGGCAGAGUGGAGGUGCCGUGGGAUGGUGGCACAUGGGAGGAUGGAGACGGUAUGCGAUGGUGGCACAGGGACAGGAUGGAGAUGUGGUGGGAUGGUGGCACAUGGAAGGGUGGAGAUGCCAUGGGAUGGUGGCAUGGGGACAGGAUGGAGAUGCCCUGGGAUGGUGGCACAUGGAAGGGUGGAGAUGGGGUGGGAUGGUGGCACAUGGAAGGGUGGAGGUGUUCAGAAAUGGUGACACAUGGGCAGAGUGGAGGUGCUGUGGGAUGGUGGCACAUGGGAGGAUGGAGACAUCCAGUUUGGCACAGGGACAGGACGGAGAUGCGGUGGGAUGGUGGCACAUGGAAGGAUGGAGACGGUAUGCGAUGGUGGCACAGGGACAGGAUGGAGAUGUGGUGGGAUGGUGGCACAUGGAAGGGUGGAGACAUCCAGUUUGGCACAGGGACAGGAUGGGGAUGCGAUGGGAUGGUGGCACAGGGAUAGGACGGAGGCGCUGAGAAGCGGCGGCGCAGGGCAGGUGGGGGUGUUAUGGGCAGGUGGGGUUGUUAUGGGCCGGCGGCGCAGCGAAGGACGGAGGUGGGGACGCCGGGAGGCGGCGCAGUGCGGCCCGCUGUGGGGCGGCGCAGAGCUGCGGCGCUGGGAGCGUUUGGUUCUCAUUAUGGGCUGCUGGCAGCGGCGGUGGAAAAAAUAGCAGUGAGUGCAGAGCUGGGAGGGAGAGGGGCCGUGGAGGGGCGGCUGCGGUGUGCAAACAGCGAGCGGUGAGCACGGCCAGCGUGCAAAUACAGCGUGCAACGUGUGCUCAGCGUGCAACGUGCAAAUAAAGCGUGCAGCGUGUGUGCUUAGUGUGCAAGGAAAGCGUGCAACGUGUGCUCAGCGUGCAACGUGCAUAUAAAGUGUGCGGCAUGUGUGCUCAGUGUGCAAAGAAAGUGUGCAACGUGUGCUCAGCGUGCAUAUAAAGUGAGCAACGUGUGCUCACUGUGCAAGGAAAGCAUGCAAUGUGUGCUCAGAGUGCAACAUGCAAAUAAAGCGUGCAGUGUGUGUGCU